AGUGGAUGGGGAGCAACCUAGUUGUGCGUGUGUAAAGGUAGUGCCAAGAAAAGCGGUGAUCAUGAUGAAAAUCAAUUCCCGGUACCCGAAACCGACACAGGUGGGCAAGUAGAGAAUACUAAGGGGCGCGAGGUAACUCUCUCCAAGGAACUCGGCAAAAUGACCCCGUAACUUAGGGAGAAGGGGUGCCACCGAGAGGUGGUCGCAGUGAAGAGGCCCAGGCGACUGUUUAGCAAAAACAUAGGUCUCUGCAAACUCGAAAGAGGAGGUAUAGGGGCUGACGCCUGCCCAGUGCCGGAAGGUUAAAGAAGUUGGUCAGACUUAGGAUAAAGCUAGCGACUGAAGCCCCGGUGAACGGCGGCCGUAACUAUAACGGUCCUAAGGUAGCGAAAUUCCUUGUCGGGUAAGUUCCGACCCGCACGAAAGGCGUAACGAUCUGGGCGCUGUCUCGGAGAGAGGCUCGGCGAAAUAGGAUUGUCUGUGAAGAUACGGACUACCUGCAUUUGGACAGAAAGACCCUAUGAAGCUUUACUAUAGCUUGGAAUUGUGUUCGGGCUUCCUGUGCGCAGGAUAGGUGGGAGGCGAAGAAGGUAUUCUUGUGGGGAUACUGGAGCCAACGGUGAGAUACCACUCUCAGGAGGCUAGAAUUCUAACUUAAUUAAGGACAGUUUCAGGUGGGUAGUUUGACUGGGGCGGUCGCCUCCAAAAAGGUAACGGAGGCGUACAAAGGUUCCCUCAGACUGGUUGGAAAUCAGUCGCAGAGUGCAAAGGCAGAAGGGAGCUUGACUGCGAGAAGUACAGUUCGAGCAGGGUGGAAACACGGUCUUAGUGAUCCGACGGUGCUGUGUGGAAGGGCCGUCGCUCAACGGAUAAAAGUUACUCUAGGAUAACAGGCUGAUCUCCCCCAAGAGUUCGCAUCGACGGGGAGGUUUGGCACCUCGAUGUCGGCUCAUCGCAACCUGGGGCGGAAGUACGUCCCAAGGGUUGGGCUGUUCGCCCAUUAAAGCGGUACGUGAGCUGGGUUCAGAACGUCGUGAGACAGUUCGGUCCAUAUCCGAUGUAGGCGUGAGAAUAUUGAGAGGAGCCUUCCUUAGUACGAGAGGACCGGGAAGGACGCACCGCUGGUGUACCUGUUAUGAUGCCAAUUGUAAACGCAGGGUAGCCAAGUGCGGAGAGGAUAACCGCUGAAAGCAUCUAAGUGGGAAGCCCACCUCAAGAUGAGUAUUCUGGUGUAAGGUCACGGGAAGACGACCCGUAAAUAGGCACGAGGUGGAAGUGCAGAGAUGUAUGAAGCCGAAGUGUACUAAUAGACCGUCGGCUUGACC
Molecule: ribosomal RNA, 1325 nt
Filed under: metagenome
Description: bacterial LSU rRNA
Rfam family: Bacterial large subunit ribosomal RNA
Source: RNAcentral